Molecule: long non-coding RNA, 1572 nt
Organism: Xyrauchen texanus (razorback sucker)
Lineage: Eukaryota; Metazoa; Chordata; Actinopteri; Cypriniformes; Catostomidae
Exons: 4
Source: RefSeq, a predicted model, not a curated record
GGCAGAAACAAGAGCUGGUUUUGGAGAGGGAGGACAGGAGAUGGCUGGAGACUGAGAUGGAGGCUCUCCGCUUUCAAGCGAGAGAAUUCAAAGGCAAAGCAGAGAGACUGGAGGCAGCUUUAUACAAGGAGUUGCAGAGCCAACAUUUUCACAAUGUCCCCAGAUCUCCAGUCAGCAGCUGUACUCCACAGACUCAUCUUCCCCUCACUCAGCACAAUGUGAAUGGCCUAAUGGAGCUUGGAGUCGGUGACCCCAUUGUGAAGCUGUGGCGUUUCAUAAGAUAGCUGCAUUGUGGGAUUGAUGAAAAGCAUGGACUAGACACUAACACAGGCUUUAGGAGGAGAUCUGAUGAAGACCACAAAUCUAGACAGUAAGAGCCUUAUUCAUGAGAUUAUGGAGCAAAGCACCUUAUGGAAGACCACAGUAUCAGACUCAAAGAAACCAAAGAUGCUGAAGUAACCGCAAUGCCGACCAGGAGAAUAACCAGUCACAAGUAAGAAGAGGGUGGACUUACAGGUUAUAUACAAGUAGUUUCAUGACACAGAAUGACAAUGUACAAAUGCUUGUCUGUUUUUGUUCUUCAUUGCUUUAAGCUUUGCUCAUGAAACUGCUGUGACUCAGUGAAGCUGUGUUGUAACAUUUAAGUGCUUCCCAGCACAUUUAAUGCAUGUGCUGCUUGUGUUGCAUGUGUGCCAUGAUGCAGCGAGCAAAGCUUUGGAACUGCUGAACCUGUUAAGUAGAAUUGCAACAGUGCUUUUUCAGCACACAGUAAGUCUUUGUGUUACUACUAUACACUGAUCAAUUACUGGAAACGCUUGAGAAACAACAGAUCCAUAUUAUGGGACAGAUGAAAAUGAAAAUUCUGGCAUCAAUAACUCACUCUCAUGUAAUUUUUAAACCUUUAUGACACAAAAGGAAAUGUUAGGCAGCAUGUUAGCCUCAGUCACCAUUCACUUUCUUUCUCCUCUUGUUGUAUGGAAAAAAUAAAUUCAUUGGGUUUCGAACGCCUUGAGGGUGAGUAAAUGAUGCCCGAACUUUUCUUUUGCGUUGAACUAUUCCUUUAAAAAUAUUCCAAACUUCACAAUACAGACUAUAUCAGUUUGUUUCUUCGUCUUUUUAAGAGAUAAAUAAUGUUAUAUGAAUGUUUAUAUCUCUUAUUUAACAGAUAAUAUAUUUGUUUUUAGAAUAGGCCAGACAUGCUUUUCCCAUUCUGCUCAUGCAGCAGGUCUCCAGUGCAUGCUCUCCUCACUUCUGAUCUUCCCGCUGAAAUAAAGUAUAGGCUGGAGACAGAGCACCCUGCCAUCACUAAACCGAUAUGUGAGAUGAACACCUUCACUUUACAGAAAACACAAGAACUGUUUUAUAAAUGAAACAGACAAACAUUGCCUACAGCAUAAUGUAUUUAACUGAGCCAAUUAUUUAAUUUCCCUACUGUUAUGUUGACCAUCACAGGAAGUAAUUUAUUGGUUACAUAGCUGGGGAUUUAUCUGAUCACGUUGGUCUUUUAUCAGCUGCAAACAACAAAGAGGAGCUCACAGAAGGACAGACAUCUAAGAAAAUAAUAACCUUGUG